Molecule: unclassified non-coding RNA, 147 nt
Filed under: soil metagenome
Description: partial internal transcribed spacer 1
Source: RNAcentral
CCGAGUUUACAACUCCCAAACCUCUGUGAACAUACCUAUAUGUUGCCUCGGCGGAUCAGCCCGCGCCCCGUAAAACGGGACGGCCCGCCGCAGGAUCCACAAACUCUGUUUUUAUUGUAACUUCUGAGUAACAAAACAAAUAAAUCA